This 479-nucleotide ribosomal RNA is filed under the name uncultured bacterium. Its description in RNAcentral is "bacterial SSU rRNA". It matches the Rfam family "Bacterial small subunit ribosomal RNA", at positions 28 to 523 of the family's 1533-position model. The record is from RNAcentral.
GAUGAACGCUGGCGGCGUGCUUAACACAUGCAAGUCGAACGAUGAAAGCGGGAGCUUGCUCCUGCUGGAUUAGUGGCGAACGGGUGAGUAACACGUGAGUAACCUGCCCUUGACUCUGGGAUAAGCGUUGGAAACGACGUCUAAUACCGGAUACGACCUUCGGAGGCAUCUCCUGGGGUGGAAAGAAUUCGGUCAAGGAUGGACUCGCGGCCUAUCAGCUAGUUGGUGAGGUAAUGGCUCACCAAGGCGACGACGGUAGCCGGCCUGAGAGGGUGACCGGCCGACACUGGGACUGAGACACGGCCCAGACUCCUACGGGAGGCAGCAGUGGGGAAUAUUGGACAAUGGGCGAAAGCCUGAUCCAGCAAUGCCGCGUGAGUGAUGAAGGCCUUAGGGUUGUAAAGCUCUUUCGCCUGAGACGAUGAUGACGGUAUCAGGAGAAGAAGCCCCGGCUAAUUCCGUGCCAGCAGCCGCGGUAA